UUCAACAUCAUUGUCACUACCAUCCUCUUCGUCUGGCUCGUUAUUGUCACCACCAUCCUCUUCCUCCGACUCCUUAUCCCCACCCACAUCACCAUCCUCUUCUUCCGACUCGCUAUUGUCACUACCAUCACCAUCAUCUUGGACCGCCGGAUUGUCACUUCCGGGAACACUCAAUCUAAGACUUUUCACCUCCUCUUCUAGAAGACCUAGCUGCGUAGACAAUGAAGUGAUUUUUUCCUUCACAACUGCAUCUCGG
RNAcentral lists this long non-coding RNA (256 nucleotides) under Brassica rapa (field mustard). Its description in RNAcentral is "long non-coding RNA (BRAP_LNC001137)". Lineage: Eukaryota; Viridiplantae; Streptophyta; Magnoliopsida; Brassicales; Brassicaceae. The record is from RNAcentral.